Long non-coding RNA from Canis lupus familiaris (dog), 811 nucleotides. RefSeq lists it as uncharacterized. NCBI's taxonomy places the organism in Eukaryota, Metazoa, Chordata, Mammalia, Carnivora, Canidae. The record is from RefSeq and is a predicted model, not a curated record. The transcript has 6 exons.
GACGGCCGUCCGGGGGCCUGGCGGGGCGGGGCUGCGCGGCCUCCGCCGCGGGCUCCGGGUGCGUUGGUUUCCGCGGCUCUGACGCCCGGAAGGAGGUUUCCGUGGCGGGCGGCCGCCCCUCCGCGUUAUGGGCAGCGAACUUAGCGAUUCACCUGUUUCUUGUGGAGAGUGUGGGGUUUGGAGUCGGGCAGCAGGUCCAGUUUCAAAUGCCAGCCCCAGUAUUUAGCCCCGUGACUUGUCUGUGCUUCAGUUUCCUCGUAUUUAAAAAGGAGAUUGUAAUAUAAUCUAUACCUGCCUCAUCAGGUGACUAGUAGGAUCAAGUGUCCUACUCUAGAUUCAGCUUUUCCUGGUGUAACCCUUUGAGAUCACAGUUUGCUGAGAGGAGGAUCUCCUGUUAGACUCACACCUUCUGUGGACUCUGGGAUUGGAUUUAUGUCCUGUCACUCACACGGCUAUCCAAGUCAUAUUAUUGUAAGAGAACUUUAAUUCCACAAAUAUAUUCAGAAUCAAGGACUGCCUGGGUGGCUCAGUCAGCUGUAUCCUCAGAGCUGGCACAAUGCUCAGAAUAAGAGUUGAGAAGUUAAAUGCCAGCACUUGAACUGAAUGGACUCACAUGCCUCCAGAUUUAACCCAGGACAUUCAUUUUCUUCAAUGUCAGAAUGACCCAGCAAUCAGUUAGGUGCUUGGGGAUAUAACAACUCUUUCAAUCCAAGUGGAUAUAAUUCAGUCUGUAAUGUUGGUCAGAACAAUGCAGCUUUCUAAAGCUGGUCUACAUGGCAGACCUAAAAUCAUUAAAAACUGAAGUGUAUUA